UGAAAAUGUACGGUUCAACUGCA
This 23-nucleotide non-coding RNA is filed under the name Arabidopsis thaliana (thale cress). The record is from RNAcentral. Lineage: Eukaryota; Viridiplantae; Streptophyta; Magnoliopsida; Brassicales; Brassicaceae.